Long non-coding RNA from Salvelinus fontinalis (brook trout), 495 nucleotides. RefSeq lists it as uncharacterized. NCBI's taxonomy places the organism in Eukaryota, Metazoa, Chordata, Actinopteri, Salmoniformes, Salmonidae. The record is from RefSeq and is a predicted model, not a curated record. The transcript has 3 exons.
UGUAGACUGAAAAUAGGUUGACAUUUUGUCUACUGGUAUUUCUUUCCUGUAGCCCUCACAGAUUCCACAUCCACCUGUAUAAUGGGCAUGUCAUCAAUGGUCUUGUAUGGCUCCGUUGAUAGAGCAUGACGCUUGUAACGUCAGGAUUGUGGGCUCGUUUCCCGGGACCACCCAAACGUAAAAGAAACCAGGAGUUCCCUUGGCCAGAGGAACCCUAAUCACUGACUGUUACAAAGACUUGGGCUUCAUGAGUUUCAUCUACAUCCUGGUCACUAAGUCAAUCAAGGUAAACCCAAUACACUGCUUUACAUCUCCAUGUUUCCUCAAGUAUCAAGCACAGAGCCUCAUCUUGACCUGCUAGUCAUUUCUGCAGGCAUUUUCAGAAAAUUCUGGAAACUGCCCAACUUCACGUGAUUUUCUCUUUCCAUGCGUCCACCCUAACUGUGCUACCUGCUGCCUCACCUGGUUCACGCCGUUGUCACCUCCAGCACUGGU